AGUGAACGCUGGCGGUAGGCCUAACACAUGCAAGUCGAACGGCAGCACAGUAAGAGCUUGCUCUUACGGGUGGCGAGUGGCGGACGGGUGAGGAAUACAUCGGAAUCUACUUUUUCGUGGGGGAUAACGUAGGGAAACUUACGCUAAUACCGCAUACGACCUACGGUUGAAAGCAGGGGAUCUUCGUACCUUGCGCGAUUGAAUGAGCCGAUGUCGGAUUAGCUAGUUGGCGGGGUAAAGGCCCACCAAGGCGACGAUCCGUAGCUGGUCUGAGAGGAUGAUCAGCCACACUGGAACUGAGACAAGGUCCAGACUCCUACGGGAGGCAGCAGUGGGGAAUAUUGGACAAUGGGCGCAAGCCUGAUCCAGCCAUACCGCGUGGGUGAAGAAGGCCUUCGGGUUGUAAAGCCCUUUUGUUGGGAAAGAAAAGCAGCAGGUUAAUACCCCGCUGUUCUGACGGUACCCAAAGAAUAAGCACCGGCUAACUUCGUG
Molecule: ribosomal RNA, 492 nt
Filed under: uncultured bacterium
Lineage: Bacteria
Description: partial 16S ribosomal RNA
Rfam family: Bacterial small subunit ribosomal RNA
Source: RNAcentral